Molecule: long non-coding RNA, 1058 nt
Organism: Carcharodon carcharias (great white shark)
Lineage: Eukaryota; Metazoa; Chordata; Chondrichthyes; Lamniformes; Lamnidae
Exons: 2
Source: RefSeq, a predicted model, not a curated record
CAUGAGGAUUAUGGGAGAUGUAGUUUUUCGCCGCCUCUCCACCUGGGCGCCAACCAGUGGCGGAACUACAAUACCCACAAUAUAGUGCGCACUGCGGCACCUACAGGCCAGAGAGCGUCCGCCAUGUUAACACCCGAACGGCGGUGAACUGUCUCCAUCCAUCAGUAGCAGCUGCCGCUAGAUUCCUCUGCGGGAAUCCAGUUAACAGUGCUGAAGAAAAAACAGCGCCCUACUCUUCAAUUUUACCAGCAGUCCAGCCACGCCCUUCAUCUCUUUCACAGAUCAAAUUUUAGAAAAAAGUGACAUUCUGAAAAAUCCUCACAUUUCAUCCACUUAAUAUUUGUACAAGGAUGAACAACGAAGAAAGCUCAAUUGGGCAUUGGAAGCUUUAAUAGAGUUAGACUAUGAGAAGAAUGACAUCUGUGUUCUGCAGGCAUCUGCAGUAGGGGCGGGGAUGAGCGAGAUUGCAGAAUGCGGACAAUGAGGAAAGCAAUUUGACCGAGCCCACAGUUGCUGCAGAAUUUAUUUCACACUUCCAUCAUGUAUCCUUGUCUUUUUACUUUGGAAUGUCGGAAAGAGAGACAUUACACACAACAUUGUGAUAAAAUUAUGCCGUGCAUCAUUAGUUUAAAAAUGCCUUAGCUUAUUGCGAUAUUCAAUAUAGUAAUACUGUAUAUAUGUUUAAAUAUGUGAUUUUAGCGCACCUGACAUUGAAAUGGGAAUGUGCAGUGCAAAGCUCCACAAAGAGGAAGUUUUUGAUCAGUAAUAGGCAGAGGUUUAAAAUAAUCAGAUUUAAAAGCAUUCUGCCUCAGUGGUCGCAUUCUCACCUUUGAAUCAGAGUGGGGAUUCAAAUGCCACUCCAGAGAUUUAAACGUCAUCCAGGCCAGUGGUUCUCAAAUUUAUUUGGUUGAAGGAGUCAUUUUCAAAUGGAUUAGUAAUCAUUGAUCUCCAAAUAUAUGAUAUGAAAGUGCUGUAUGUAAGGGGUGUUUUAAUAAUGGAGCACUUUUUAGAAUCAGUCGAUUCUAAUUUCAGCAAGAGUAAAUUCUGCACUAAUAUGG